AAGCAUCACAGUGGCUACACUGGUAGAUUUAUGGUGAUAAUUCGGGAACAUCACGGUAUUCACACAAUUAGGUUGGGGGGAUAUUUUGAGCCAAACUAGUUCCUAGGCCUAGGGGAAAGCACAUGAUUUGUCUGGCUUACAUAUCAAUAUGCUUGUACUGAUAUUGACAAAGACUUGGAAUCACCUUAAGGGUAGGAGCCUAAGUCAUAUUGUAUGUUGUCACUUCUCAAACGUUAAUACAAUGUCUUAUAGAAUGUCUUGUAACAGUAUUUAUAGACUAUCAUUGGCCCACUGACAUUUCCCGAAAUAUCCGAUACUACAAUUCAUAGGCCUUGUCCUGAAAAUCCGAAUUUCAUAUUGAUUCUGUACGAAACCGGUUAGGCCUAUUACUCCUUUGAGAUACUGUGGUAUUUAAGGUUCAUUUUCUCAGACAUAAUUCUCCCUUCCACGUACUUUAGGU
Pelobates cultripes (western spadefoot toad) is the source of this 460-nucleotide non-coding RNA. The record is from the annotation of a GenBank genome assembly. Lineage: Eukaryota; Metazoa; Chordata; Amphibia; Anura; Pelobatidae.